This is a long non-coding RNA of Diachasmimorpha longicaudata, 3340 nucleotides long. RefSeq lists it as uncharacterized. NCBI's taxonomy places the organism in Eukaryota, Metazoa, Arthropoda, Insecta, Hymenoptera, Braconidae. The record is from RefSeq and is a predicted model, not a curated record. The transcript has 3 exons.
UCCUCGCUGCCUCCGUGGACAAGGGGAACUGGUGCUGAGCUGCCGUGGCGCGGCAACCCGAUAUUUUAUACCGUGAAACCUGUCUGUCUCUUCACCAGCCGGCUUCGCUUAAUAAGCAGCUUUCAAAAUAGAAAUGUAAUGGGGUGAGCGAGAGGGGGAGGGCCCGCCCGGAGGGUCCCAAGGGAAAAGAGAGAGAGAGAGAGAGACAGAAGUGAAGGAUGGAAGCAGCGAGUGAUUGAUUGCUCGUUGGGCGACUUACCGACCACCACUGCUGACGCCUCCCUUGCGCAGCGCGUCAGUAACGAAUGACAGCCACUUAGCCGCUGUUUGCCUACAAUUUCGUGAAAGCGUUUUAAUUAUCGCCCCGACGAAAUUCCUACCAUUGACGUUUGGACGCUACCGACACUACUGGGCUAAGACAGCACCCCAGUAACCGGGUGGUUACACCCUGAUAAAAGAUAAGGAAUGGCCAAGAGAGCAGGCCACAACUGAUCCGGUGCUAUGUCUCUUGAUUCUUGUAUCCGAUGAUUGAUGAUUUAUGACAGCAAUCGUAUUUCUCGCUACCUUAACCUUCUGCCCCAGAGGAGAAAUAGAUUGCUGUAAUCAAAUGACGCGCCAUCAAAUGUUGUUUUUCACUGGCUGUCUGUCACUGAGUGAUUCUACGCAGCUCUGUGAUGGUUCCCAGUUUCUCUCUGACCUCUUUCCUCUGUGUAUAUUAUAGUUAUGUAUACAGGGGCGGAGGGAAGGGGCUGGCGAGGAUGAAAGGAGCCGACAGCGUCCAGCAGCGAGCCAUGCAUCACAGCUCCACGGCCUAAGUAAAUAAGCGACACCCGCCGCAUGCGGUCGUCGCCUAAGCCUUGUAUAGCAUAUAUAUAUAUAUAUAUCGCGGCAUAGUGCGUUGAGUUGGGCUGUGUAGGCGGGGUAAACUGACGAAAUGCCUUUCUCAAUGAUUGACGAUUUAAUUUUGGGGCGUGAGCCCAGUGUGAUUAGGGAUUCAAAUGAAAGAGAGAGUAGGCACUUCAUUCAGCGCAAAAAUUGAUAAUUCCUUGAUAAAUGGACAAAGGGAAAUUGUUGUAAAAAUUCCGAAGACUACUGAUGCUAGUUUCAACGGACCAGAACAAAAAUCUUGUAAAUUCGUCAGUUGUAAAUCGACGCCCCAAUGGCCAUUCCGCAUGGCUUCAUCGCGCCCAAAUUUUUCAUUGUAAUGUUUACAAUUUUUCUCGAAUUUACUGGAGAUUCCUUCCGGCUAAAUGUGCAUCGACAGGAAUGUAGUCAGGGGUGAUGAUAUACUGGUGGAUGAAAUGCAUGGAGAGAGGUGGAUCAUAAGCUCCCCCAGGAACUCGACAGGUUUGAUCCUGAUAUUUACGAGCGUAAGGACACGGACUAAAUUAAUGCGAUACAACCAAGCGGGGCUUAUGCUAUGCGCUUUUGCAACGGUGUAUAUUCCAGUUUGAGAGGUUUAUACUGCGAGAAAGGGGCGGGAGGGAGGGGGACAUAUGGUAAAGGUGAGAUUCAGAGGUGAAUGAUGAAUUGGAAUUAUUUCGCAGGGAUUUUGAACUUUCAGUUGAGGAUCAGCUGUGAUUUCGGAUAUUUUAUUCUUUAAUUCUCAAGAAUAACUGCCGACGUUUGCACUGCUUCCUUUCAUAUUUCUGACACGCAAAAAAAUUUGAGCUUUAAUUACUUGUUGUUAAAUAUAAUUUAGAAUUUAUUAUUAAUGAAAAGUAAAAAAACCAAGUAAAUAACGCGGAAUUUUCCAACUGACAAAUUGAUCAGACUGUAAAUUUAUCACUUCAUAAAUUGAAUUAUUUUUCCCACUGAAUGAAAAAUAUCACGUCUCAAUAAUCUAAUUCAGUGGAUAAUGUUUCCAUGAUUUUGUCAGACUUGUUUACAAGAGAAAAAAAAAUAAACAGAAAAAAAUACUCUUCGCAACGGGAGUUCAGUAAUUUAUGUCCCAGAUUUCACAGAAAAAAAAACACUGAUUAUACAACCACUAUCAUUGAGAAUGAUUUCAAAUUUAUUCUUGAUCAUCGUUAAUCCCCACGACAUUGACUUCUCAGAAGCUUUUAUUGGUCCUCAUACUCACUCCACCGGCAGUAAAUUAUAUUUACGAUUAUUAAUGGCCUACGGAUUUAUCACAAGGGGACAACAGCUGCUGGUAUAUUCUCUAAACCGUGAAGUGAGUAGCGGGAAAGCGAGAAUAAGUCGUAAAAAAGCGACAACAUUUAUACGAAUUUGAAAUAAAACUAAAAGGUAUGAAGUCGUAAAUUCAAUUAAAAAACUUUGAGAUUAGCUGACUCGUAGGCUUCACCCAACGCGUCAUAAAAUAUCGCCUGACAUUUAGGAUUAUUCAAAUGCAUUCUUCUUACAUUCCCCUCCAUUUUCCAUCGAAUCAAUUGAAAUGAAAAUAGUGAGGCGGUCAUCACUGCGGUUAAAUCAAUAAAAUCGAAUGAUUAUUAACAACUUCAAAUGAACAGAACAGAAAUUACGAAGGAUUAUCCCUUUCAGAUUCACCGCAUCGAUAACUUUCUCGAAGGCUAUCGCACAGUCACUCUCAAAUCGCCGCUCAAUUGCGUAAUUCGCAUGAUUGAAUCGGCAAAAAUAACUCCGGCAAUAAUAAAUAAAAUAAUAAAUCCUGACAGUAUGAGAAAAUAAAAAAUAUAAAAUUCCGCAAUGAGUGAGAACGUCGGUAGUACGAGACAUUAAUCGCCCUUAUCCGUACGAACAAAAUGUCAAGAGUGUCAGUUGAUAAUGUGCGGUAGAUAAAUCAAGACUGGUGAAAAGAUGACGGUGAUAAAUGUAAACACGCCUUUGGGUUUAUGUGUGGUGAGGCGGCGGAAAUACGAUGGAGAAAUGCCCCCGAGGCAGGCUCUGUGAGGUGCAGAGGGGUGGGAAGGGAUAGUAAACUGAGAGAGUGCACGUUGCCCAGCGGGUCAUGACUGAUGGCGAUGUCAUGAGACGCGGUAUCAUAAUAAUUCAUGAGUACCGUAGCCCCCAACUUAAUCGUUGAUUAAUGAAACAACGACCUCGUCACGAUUAUUUCAUUUUUUCAUCAUCCUAAUCCCUCAUUCACUCAGUUUCUGUUCCCAGGAGGAGUUCAGAGAAUCUCAGACUUGAUGAAAAUUAAAUGGUGGUGGUUGAGAGAAAACAUGGCAACAGUGCCUCGAUUAUGGAGUAAAUGGACUUACCGAUUGAGCGUAUGCGUAUAGGGCCUCCAUUUUUUCAAAUAUUAUCACUGGCACCAUCGUCAGCCCUCUCUUUCUCUCAAUUAUCUCGUCCAUUUUAUUUUACCUCCCUCGAUGGACUCUUAUCUAAUAUAAUUUCAAUUUUUAUUCACUUAUUU